RNAcentral lists this long non-coding RNA (647 nucleotides) under Mytilus galloprovincialis (Mediterranean mussel). Lineage: Eukaryota; Metazoa; Mollusca; Bivalvia; Mytilida; Mytilidae. The record is from RNAcentral.
GUUCGAAUGUUCAAUAGUUCACAAUGGCACGUGAUCGUAUAGUUUUAUAAAUGUUCAGUCCUUAUGGAUUACGUUCGGAUAUUAAGCGCAUGAUUUCCAGCCUACCCACGAUGGGGAAGACCUUGGCGGAAUCUCCGGUACCAAUAGCUUGUACCAAUCUGUCCUCCUUCAAGUCCAAAGCUGGAUCUUAUAUAGUCCAAUGGUCCAUACACAUGUCUAUAGCUGUAGGCCGGUUGUAUAAUCGUCUGGUUAUCGAGUACUAUUUACAUGAGGUUAAUUGUCAAAUAAUGUAAUUAACCCCUGACGGAUAAAUGUUAUUUUAAAGUAAACAUGGUCAUUUAUGGGCUUCGGGGUAUAUAUGUCCAUAGUAUACGAACAGAUUGUUAUUAGUGUCCAAAGGUUUCCUGCUAUUUAAUGUAUUCACAGAUUGUUAUUAGUGUCCAAAGGCUUUCUGCUAUUUAAUGUAUUCACAGAUGGUUAUUAGUGUCCAAAGGCUUUCUGCUAUUUAAUGUAUUCACAGAUGGUUAUUAGUGUCCAAAGCAUACAUGAUUGUCAUUGAAUUGUUUAUUUCCUUUUUAAUAAAUUUCCUAAUUAAUACUCCUUGAUAAUUAAUUAAUGUUACCAAUUGUGUAACAAUAUAUCAAUGA